GACGAACGCUGGCGGCGUGCCUAAUACAUGCAAGUAGAACGCUGAAGGAGGAGCUUGCUCUUCUGGAUGAGUUGCGAACGGGUGAGUAACGCGUAGGUAACCUGCCUGGUAGCGGGGGAUAACUAUUGGAAACGAUAGCUAAUACCGCAUAAGAGUAGAUGUUGCAUGACAUUUACUUAAAAGGUGCAAUUGCCUCACUACCAGAUGGACCUGCGUUGUAUUAGCUAGUUGGUGGGGUAACGGCUUACCAAGGCGACGAUACAUAGCCGACCUGAGAGGGUGAUCGGCCACACUGGGACUGAGACACGGCCCAGACUCCUACGGGAGGCAGCAGUAGGGAAUCUUCGGCAAUAGACGGAAGUCUGACCGAGCAACGCCGCGUGAGUGAAGAAGGUUUUCGGAUCGUAAAGCUCUGUUGUAAGAGAAGAACGAGUGUGAGAGUGGAAAGUUCACACUGUGACGGUAUCUUACCAGAAAGGGACGGCUAACUACGUG
Molecule: ribosomal RNA, 495 nt
Filed under: uncultured bacterium
Lineage: Bacteria
Description: partial 16S ribosomal RNA
Rfam family: Bacterial small subunit ribosomal RNA
Source: RNAcentral